RNAcentral lists this long non-coding RNA (395 nucleotides) under Setaria viridis. RNAcentral describes it as "long non-coding RNA (SVIR_LNC003183)". The record is from RNAcentral. Lineage: Eukaryota; Viridiplantae; Streptophyta; Magnoliopsida; Poales; Poaceae.
UGGGUGCAAAAGCCAUAAACAUAUUAUUCUUAGAGAUCACACAACCAUUGUUUUCACUAAAAAAUGAAUAACCAUGCUUCAUCAAGCAUGACGGAGACAUAAUGUUUCGACUUAAAGGAACGAAAUAAAAAUUAUUGAACUCCAUAAUAAAUCCUGACGGGGGGUGGAGUUACAUCAUCCCAACGGUCAACGCAGCAACUCUUGCAUUAUUGCCCACACGGAAAUCAACUUGUCCUCUUUCCAUGCUUCUACUUCUUAUUAGUCCCUGCAUCGAAUUGGAAAUAUGAGCAACUGAUCUGCUAUCAAAUACCCAAGAACUAAUAAUUGUAUUAGCGAGAAAUGUGUUGUCUAUAACAUUAAUAACAAGCGCACCUAAGGUGUACUCUUACUUCCGC